GGAAUAUUGGACAAUGGGGGCAACCCUGAUCCAGCAAUGCCGCGUGUGUGAAGAAGGCCUGCGGGUUGUAAAGCACUUUUGUGGGGAAAGAGGGGCUAGCGCGCUAAUACCGUGUUUGGUCUGACGGUACCCCACGAAUAAGCACCGGCUAACUCCGUGCCAGCAGCCGCGGUAAUACGGAGGGUGCGAGCGUUAAUCGGAAUUACUGGGCGUAAAGCGCACGUAGGCGGUUGCUUAAGCGAGAUGUGAAAGCCCGGGGCUCAACCCCGGAAUUGCAUUUCGAACUGGGCGACUAGAGUACGAGAGAGGGUGGUAGAAUUUCCAGUGUAGCGGUGAAAUGCGUAGAGAUUGGAAGGAAUACCGGUGGCGAAGGCGGCCACCUAGCUCGAUACUGACGCUGAGGUGCGAAAGCGUGGGGAGCAAA
RNAcentral lists this ribosomal RNA (424 nucleotides) under uncultured bacterium. RNAcentral describes it as "bacterial SSU rRNA". It matches the Rfam family "Bacterial small subunit ribosomal RNA", at positions 358 to 772 of the family's 1533-position model. The record is from RNAcentral.